Molecule: transfer RNA, 66 nt
Filed under: Thalassaphorura encarpata
Lineage: Eukaryota; Metazoa; Arthropoda; Collembola; Poduromorpha; Onychiuridae
Description: tRNA-Leu
Source: RNAcentral
AUUAGUUUGGCAGAUAAGUGUAGUUGAUUUAGAAUCAUUUAAUAAUUUUUUUUUAGUUAACUAAUA